RNAcentral lists this ribosomal RNA (406 nucleotides) under uncultured bacterium. Its description in RNAcentral is "partial 16S ribosomal RNA". It matches the Rfam family "Bacterial small subunit ribosomal RNA", at positions 30 to 526 of the family's 1533-position model. The record is from RNAcentral.
AUUGAACGCUGGCGGCAGGCCUAACACAUGCAAGUCGAGCGAGCGGCGGACGGGUGAGUAAUGUAUGGGGCUCCGCCUGAUGGAGGGGGAUAACUACUGGAAAGUGUCGCUAAUCCCGCAAACCAUCAGAUGAACCAAUAUGGGAUUAGCUAGUAGGGGAGGUAACGGCUCACCGAGGCGACGCUCCCUAGCUGGUCUGAGAGGAUGAUCAGCCACACUGGGACUGAGACACGGCCCAGACUCCUACGGGAGGCAGCAGUGGGGAAUAUUGCACAAUGGGCGCAAGCCUGAUGCAGCCAUGCCGCGUGUAUGAAGAAGGCCUUCGGGUUGUAAAGUACUUUCAGUCGGGAGGCGUUACCGACAGAAGAAGCACCGGCUAACUCCGUGCCAGCAGCCGCGGUAAUUC